UACGGGGGGGGCAAGCGUUGUUCGGAAUUACUGGGCGUAAAGGGCUCGUAGGUGGCCAACUAAGUCAGACGUGAAAUCCCUCGGCUUAACCGGGGAACUGCGUCUGAUACUGGAUGGCUAGAGUUUGGGAGAGGGAUGCGGAAUUCCAGGUGUAGCGGUGAAAUGCGCAGAUAUUGGGAGGAACACCAGCGGCGAAGGCGGCACUCUGGGCUGGUACUGACGCUGAGGAGCGAAAGCGUGGGUAGCGAACAGG
Molecule: ribosomal RNA, 253 nt
Filed under: uncultured bacterium
Lineage: Bacteria
Description: partial 16S ribosomal RNA
Rfam family: Bacterial small subunit ribosomal RNA
Source: RNAcentral